GAUGAAGAACGUAGCGAAAUGCGAUAAGUAAUGUGAAUUGCAGAAUUCAGUGAAUCAUCGAAUCUUUGAACGCACCUUGCGCUCUUUGGUAUUCCGAAGAGCAUGCCUGUUUGAGUGUCAUGAAAAUAUCAACCUUGACUUGGGUUUUGUGCUCUAGUCUCGGCUUGGAAUUGGGUGCUUGCCGCUUUUACGAGCGGCUCACCUUAAAUGUAUUAGCUGGAUCUGUCUUUGAGACUUGGUUUGACUUGGCGUAAUAAGUAUUUCGCUAAGGACAUUCUUCGGAGUGGCCUCGUUUCUAGGACGCUUGUCCGCUUUCCAAUACAAGUUCCACCUCGUGGACAUGACUUUUUAUUAUCUGGCCUCAAAUCAGGUAGGACUACCCGCUGAACUUAAGCAUAUCAUAAGCGGAGG
RNAcentral lists this unclassified non-coding RNA (411 nucleotides) under soil metagenome. Its description in RNAcentral is "partial contains 5.8S ribosomal RNA, internal transcribed spacer 2, and large subunit ribosomal RNA". The stretch from base 1 to 120 matches the Rfam family "5.8S ribosomal RNA", at positions 35 to 154 of the family's 154-position model. The record is from RNAcentral.